CUUAUAGUACGCACCGUACGUAGUACGUGUAGUGUGCGUACUUCAACCGUGCAGACCCUGAAUUGGGACACAGCUAUUGUGUGGAAAUAAUGUAUCUAUAAAGCCAGGGAGGCAGCCGGUUUUUCACCUAUGGCUGACUAUGGCCGGAAAGAAGAUCAACCUCCUAGCACCUGGCGUCCACAUAUGUUGACAUCACAUUUUUUGGUUAUUUAGA
This is a long non-coding RNA of Oreochromis aureus, 214 nucleotides long. RefSeq lists it as uncharacterized. The transcript has 2 exons. The record is from RefSeq and is a predicted model, not a curated record. NCBI's taxonomy places the organism in Eukaryota, Metazoa, Chordata, Actinopteri, Cichliformes, Cichlidae.